GAUGAAGAACGUAGCGAAAUGCGAUAAGUAAUGUGAAUUGCAGAAUUCAGUGAAUCAUCGAGUCUUUGAACGCACAUUGCGCCCCCUGGUAUUCCGGGGGGCAUGCCUGUCCGAGCGUCAUUGCUGCCCUCAAGCACGGCUUGUGUGUUGGGCUUCCGUCCCUGGCAACGGGGACGGGCCCAAAAGGCAGUGGCGGCACCAUGUCUGGUCCUCGAGCGUAUGGGGCUUUGUCACCCGCUCCCGUAGGUCCAGCUGGCAGCUAGCCUCGCAACCAAUCUUUUUAACCAGGUUGACCUCGGAUCAGGUAGGGAUACCCGCUGAACUUAAGCAUAUCAAUAAGCGGAGGA
This 347-nucleotide unclassified non-coding RNA is filed under the name soil metagenome. RNAcentral's name for it is "partial contains 5.8S ribosomal RNA, internal transcribed spacer 2, and large subunit ribosomal RNA". The stretch from base 1 to 120 matches the Rfam family "5.8S ribosomal RNA", at positions 35 to 154 of the family's 154-position model. The record is from RNAcentral.